UGGGGAAUUUUGGACAAUGGGCGAAAGCCUGAUCCAGCAAUGCCGCGUGUGUGAAGAAGGCCUUCGGGUUGUAAAGCACUUUUGUCCGGAAAGAAAUCCUUGGCUCUAAUACAGUCGGGGGAUGACGGUACCGGAAGAAUAAGCACCGGCUAACUACGUGCCAGCAGCCGCGGUAAUACGUAGGGUGCAAGCGUUAAUCGGAAUUACUGGGCGUAAAGCGUGCGCAGGCGGUUUGCUAAGACCGAUGUGAAAUCCCCGGGCUCAACCUGGGAACUGCAUUGGUGACUGGCAGGCUAGAGUAUGGCAGAGGGGGGUAGAAUUCCACGUGUAGCAGUGAAAUGCGUAGAGAUGUGGAGGAAUACCGAUGGCGAAGGCAGCCCCCUGGGCCAAUACUGACGCUCAUGCACGAAAGCGUGGGGAGCAAAACAGGAUUAGAUACCCCUGGGUAGUCCACGCCCUAAACGAUGUCAACUAGUUGUUGGGGAUUCAUUUCCUUAGUAACGUAGCUAACGCGUGAAGUUGACCGCCUGGGGAGUACGGUCGCAAGAUUAAAACUCAAAGGAAUUGACGGGGUCAUAGCUGUUUCC
This 587-nucleotide ribosomal RNA is filed under the name uncultured bacterium. Its description in RNAcentral is "partial 16S ribosomal RNA". It matches the Rfam family "Bacterial small subunit ribosomal RNA", at positions 355 to 937 of the family's 1533-position model. The record is from RNAcentral.